RNAcentral lists this ribosomal RNA (424 nucleotides) under Fusobacteriota bacterium. Its description in RNAcentral is "Fusobacteria bacterium partial 16S ribosomal RNA". It matches the Rfam family "Bacterial small subunit ribosomal RNA", at positions 355 to 776 of the family's 1533-position model. Lineage: Bacteria; Fusobacteriati; Fusobacteriota. The record is from RNAcentral.
UGAGGAAUAUUGGUCAAUGGGCGCUAGCCUGAACCAGCCAAGUAGCGUGAAGGAUGAAGGCUCUAUGGGUCGUAAACUUCUUUUAUAUAAGAAUAAAGUGCAGUAUGUAUACUGUUUUGUAUGUAUUAUAUGAAUAAGGAUCGGCUAACUCCGUGCCAGCAGCCGCGGUAAUACGGAGGAUCCGAGCGUUAUCCGGAUUUAUUGGGUUUAAAGGGAGCGUAGGUGGACUGGUAAGUCAGUUGUGAAAGUUUGCGGCUCAACCGUAAAAUUGCAGUUGAUACUGUCAGUCUUGAGUACAGUAGGGGUGGGCGGAAUUCGUGGUGUAGCGGUGAAAUGCUUAGAUAUCACGAAGAACUCCGAUUGCGAAGGCAGCUCACUGGACAGCAACUGACACUGAUGCUCGUAAGUGUGGGUAUCAAACAGG